RNAcentral lists this transfer RNA (83 nucleotides) under Bacteroidales bacterium. RNAcentral's name for it is "tRNA-Tyr". It matches the Rfam family "tRNA". From Rfam's summary of the family: Transfer RNA (tRNA) molecules are approximately 80 nucleotides in length. Their secondary structure includes four short double-helical elements and three loops (D, anti-codon, and T loops). Further hydrogen bonds mediate the characteristic L-shaped molecular structure. tRNAs have two regions of fundamental functional importance: the anti-codon, which is responsible for specific mRNA codon recognition, and the 3' end, to which the tRNAs corresponding amino acid is attached (by aminoacyl-tRNA synthetases). tRNAs cope with the degeneracy of the genetic code in two manners: having more than one tRNA (with a specific anti-codon) for a particular amino acid; and 'wobble' base-pairing, i.e. permitting non-standard base-pairing at the 3rd anti-codon position. The record is from RNAcentral. Lineage: Bacteria; Pseudomonadati; Bacteroidota; Bacteroidia; Bacteroidales.
GGGUAGGUAGCCAAGUGGCCAACGGCAACAGACUGUAAAUCUGUCCUCUUCGGAGUUCAGUGGUUCGAAUCCACUCCUGCCCA